AAAAAUGUAACAAGGUUUCGUAGGCGAAGCUGAGGAGGAGGAUCAUUA
Molecule: ribosomal RNA, 48 nt
Filed under: Saccharomyces cerevisiae (brewer's yeast)
Lineage: Eukaryota; Fungi; Ascomycota; Saccharomycetes; Saccharomycetales; Saccharomycetaceae
Description: partial 18S ribosomal RNA
Source: RNAcentral